Molecule: unclassified non-coding RNA, 625 nt
Filed under: Hevea brasiliensis (rubber tree)
Lineage: Eukaryota; Viridiplantae; Streptophyta; Magnoliopsida; Malpighiales; Euphorbiaceae
Source: RNAcentral
AAAAAAAAAAAAAAAAACUGAAAUCAGCUCCAAAAGAAAUACUUUUAUGCUGAUAAUUAAAAUAAAUUUCAAACCCUAACCGGCACACGAAAAACUGUUUCUCCAACUGCAACAUCAGCUCCAACGUUUGACUGAUAAAAUGAGUAACCAAGACGACAUCCGAAAUCAAAAUUAGCACGUACAAAAACAUGUAUCUAUAGAUGUACGUAUACGCAGAGAGCGCGAGAUGUAGCAAAUGUGAAUACCGAGUAGACAUGGCGAGGGUGGUGAAAACUAUCUGAAUCGAUGGGAGAAGGAGCGAGAAUGGAGAGGAGACCAAAGAGGAUGAGAAGAACACCGGAAACAGCGGAUAUCACGGGAAGCAAAGAACGGAGGCGGUUGUAAUAGUGAUGGCGCCGCCUAUGAAAAGCCAUUUACGGUGGUUUUGGAGCACUGUCUCUUCUCAGCUCUCCCGCUUUAAAAGAAAUCGAUCUGCUAAUGCUUAGAGUCCAGCAUUGGCUGGAGGGAGAGGCGCAUGAGCCAGCGUACUUGAUAAAAGAGCUGUGAACUGGAGAUAAACGACAAGGAUUGAUUAUCGGCGCGUUAGCGGAUUGGCAUCGGAUGGGCUUUGAGUCGGAGACACAGA